RNAcentral lists this ribosomal RNA (2936 nucleotides) under Priestia megaterium. RNAcentral's name for it is "bacterial LSU rRNA". It matches the Rfam family "Bacterial large subunit ribosomal RNA". The record is from RNAcentral. Lineage: Bacteria; Bacillati; Bacillota; Bacilli; Caryophanales; Bacillaceae.
AUGGUUAAGUUAGAAAGGGCGCACGGUGAAUGCCUUGGCACUAGGAGCCGAUGAAGGACGGGACUAACACCGAUAUGCUUCGGGGAGCUGUAAGUGAGCUUUGAUCCGGAGAUUUCCGAAUGGGGAAACCCACUGUUCGUAAUGGAACAGUAUCUUUAUCUGAAUACAUAGGAUAUUGAAGGCAGACCCGGGGAACUGAAACAUCUAAGUACCCGGAGGAAGAGAAAGCAAAUGCGAUUUCCUGAGUAGCGGCGAGCGAAACGGAAUUAGCCCAAACCAAGAGGCUUGCCUCUUGGGGUUGUAGGACACUCUAUACGGAGUUACAAAGGAACGAAGUAAAUGAAGCGACCUGGAAAGGUCCGUCGAAGAAGGUAACAACCCUGUAGUUGAAACUUCGUUCCCUCUUGAGUGGAUCCUGAGUACGGCGGAACACGUGAAAUUCCGUCGGAAGCUGGGAGGACCAUCUCCCAAGGCUAAAUACUACCUAGUGACCGAUAGUGAACCAGUACCGUGAGGGAAAGGUGAAAAGCACCCCGGAAGGGGAGUGAAAGAGAUCCUGAAACCGUGUGCCUACAAGUAGUCAGAGCCCGUUAACGGGUGAUGGCGUGCCUUUUGUAGAAUGAACCGGCGAGUUACGAUCCCAUGCAAGGUUAAGCUGAUAAGGCGGAGCCGUAGCGAAAGCGAGUCUGAAUAGGGCGUUUAGUAUGUGGUUGUAGACCCGAAACCAGGUGAUCUACCAUGUCCAGGGUGAAGUUCAGGUAACACUGAAUGGAGGCCCGAACCACGCACGUUGAAAAGUGCGGGGAUGAGGUGUGGGUAGCGGAGAAAUUCCAAUCGAACCUGGAGAUAGCUGGUUCUCUCCGAAAUAGCUUUAGGGCUAGCCUCAUGUUGUGAGAGUCUUGGAGGUAGAGCACUGAUUGGACUAGGGGCCCCCAACGGGUUACCGAAUUCAGUCAAACUCCGAAUGCCAAAGACUUAUCCAUGGGAGUCAGACUGCGAGUGAUAAGAUCCGUAGUCAAAAGGGAAACAGCCCAGACCACCAGCUAAGGUCCCCAAGUAUACGUUAAGUGGAAAAGGAUGUGGAGUUGCUUAGACAACCAGGAUGUUGGCUUAGAAGCAGCCACCAUUUAAAGAGUGCGUAAUAGCUCACUGGUCGAGUGACUCUGCGCCGAAAAUGUACCGGGGCUAAACGUAUCACCGAAGCUGUGGAUUGACAUCUUAGAUGUCAGUGGUAGGAGAGCGUUCUAAGUGCUGUGAAGUCAGACCGUAAGGACUGGUGGAGCGCUUAGAAGUGAGAAUGCCGGUAUGAGUAGCGAAAGACAAGUGAGAAUCUUGUCCACCGAAUGCCUAAGGUUUCCUGAGGAAGGCUCGUCCGCUCAGGGUUAGUCGGGACCUAAGCCGAGGCUGAAAAGCGUAGGCGAUGGCCAACAGGUUGAUAUUCCUGUACCACCUCCCCGCCGUUUGAGUAAUGGGGGGACGCAGUAGGAUAGGGUAAGCGCGCUGCUGGAUAUGCGCGUUCAAGCAGUUAGGCUGAUGAGUAGGCAAAUCCGCUCAUCAUAAAGGCUGAGCUGUGAUGACGAGGGAAUUAUAGUACCGAAGUUCCUGAUUCCACACUGCCAAGAAAAGCCUCUAGCGAGGCGGGAGGUGCCCGUACCGCAAACCGACACAGGUAGGCGAGGAGAGAAUCCUAAGGUGAUCGAGAGAACUCUCGUUAAGGAACUCGGCAAAAUGACCCCGUAACUUCGGGAGAAGGGGUGCUCUGGUAGGGUGUAUAGCCCGAGAGAGCCGCAGUGAAUAGGCCCAGGCGACUGUUUAGCAAAAACACAGGUCUCUGCGAAGCCGCAAGGCGAAGUAUAGGGCUGACGCCUGCCCGGUGCUGGAAGGUUAAGAGGAGGGGUUAUCCUUUGGGAGAAGCUCUGAAUCGAAGCCCCAGUAAACGGCGGCCGUAACUAUAACGGUCCUAAGGUAGCGAAAUUCCUUGUCGGGUAAGUUCCGACCCGCACGAAAGGCGUAACGAUCUGGGCACUGUCUCAACGAGAGACUCGGUGAAAUUAUAGUACCUGUGAAGAUGCAGGUUACCCGCGACAGGACGGAAAGACCCCGUGGAGCUUUACUGUAGCCUGAUAUUGAAUUUUGGUACAGCUUGUACAGGAUAGGUAGGAGCCUGAGAAGCCGGAGCGCUAGCUUCGGUGGAGGCGUCGGUGGGAUACUACCCUGGCUGUAUUGAAAUUCUAACCCGCGGCCCUGAUCGGGCCGGGAGACAGUGUCAGGUGGGCAGUUUGACUGGGGCGGUCGCCUCCUAAAAUGUAACGGAGGCGCCCAAAGGUUCCCUCAGAAUGGUUGGAAAUCAUUCGUAGAGUGUAAAGGCACAAGGGAGCUUGACUGCGAGACCUACAAGUCGAGCAGGGACGAAAGUCGGGCUUAGUGAUCCGGUGGUUCCGCAUGGAAGGGCCAUCGCUCAACGGAUAAAAGCUACCCCGGGGAUAACAGGCUUAUCUCCCCCAAGAGUCCACAUCGACGGGGAGGUUUGGCACCUCGAUGUCGGCUCAUCGCAUCCUGGGGCUGUAGUCGGUCCCAAGGGUUGGGCUGUUCGCCCAUUAAAGCGGUACGCGAGCUGGGUUCAGAACGUCGUGAGACAGUUCGGUCCCUAUCCGUCGUGGGCGUAGGAAAUUUGAGAGGAGCUGUCCUUAGUACGAGAGGACCGGGAUGGACACACCGCUGGUGUACCAGUUGUCUUGCCAAAGGCAUCGCUGGGUAGCUAUGUGUGGACGGGAUAAGUGCUGAAAGCAUCUAAGCAUGAAGCCCCCCUCAAGAUGAGAUUUCCCAUAGCGCAAGCUAGUAAGAUCCCUGAAAGAUGAUCAGGUUGAUAGGUCAGAGGUGGAAGCGUGGCGACAUGUGUAGCUGACUGAUACUAAUCGAUCGAGGACUUAACCAAA